GAACGCUGGCGGCGUGCCUAACACAUGCAAGUCGAACGGAGAAUAUACGCUUCAGAAGCUUCGGCAGAUGAUUGUAUAUUCUUAGUGGCGGACGGGUGAGUAACGCGUGGGCAACCUGCCUCAUGCUGGGGGAUAACAGCUGGAAACGACUGUUAAUACCGCAUAAGCGCACAGUGUCGCAUGACACAGUGUGAAAAACUCCGGUGGUAUGAGAUGGGCCCGCGUCAGAUUAGCCAGUUGGCGGGUAACGGCCCACCAAAGCGACGAUCUGUAGCCGGCCUGAGAGGGCGGACGGCCACAUUGGGACUGAGACACGGCCCAAACUCCUACGGGAGGCAGCAGUGGGGGAUAUUGCACAAUGGAGGAAACUCUGAUGCAGCGACGCCGUGUGAGUGAAGAAGUAUUUCGGUAUGUAAAGCUCUAUCAGCAGGGAAGAAAGGCUCGUAAGAGAGAUGACGGUACCUGACUAAGAAGCCCCGGCUAACUACGUGCCAGCCGCGGC
RNAcentral lists this ribosomal RNA (502 nucleotides) under uncultured bacterium. Its description in RNAcentral is "bacterial SSU rRNA". It matches the Rfam family "Bacterial small subunit ribosomal RNA", at positions 31 to 518 of the family's 1533-position model. The record is from RNAcentral.